AUGUGCUUGAGCAGGCAUUUGGACCUAGGAUGGCGGGUGCAACAUCUCGGGGAGAAUCAAGUCGUCGUAAUGGCAUCUCUAGCCAGAACAGUUCAGUUGGUGCACGGCGACGUGGUGGCUCGACAAGUGUGGGCAACAGCAGUAGGGUCCCCCUUGAAGUGGAGCCUGAUGGCUACAAUUCUGGGGUUGAUGAAGAGAAGUUAUAUUCUGAUGUUAUUCAGAAUUUACGACGGGCACCUAGGGCUGAAAACCAAGAUGAGGCUCACAAUGCAGUCCGUGUGGAUGAUGACGCGAUGGGUGAGGACGAAGACCUUGCAGCUGUUCAAUGGGACCCUUUGA
This 339-nucleotide ribosomal RNA is filed under the name Triticum aestivum (bread wheat). Its description in RNAcentral is "partial small subunit ribosomal RNA". Lineage: Eukaryota; Viridiplantae; Streptophyta; Magnoliopsida; Poales; Poaceae. The record is from RNAcentral.